Molecule: long non-coding RNA, 264 nt
Organism: Cryptomeria japonica (Japanese cedar)
Lineage: Eukaryota; Viridiplantae; Streptophyta; Pinopsida; Cupressales; Cupressaceae
Exons: 3
Source: RefSeq, a predicted model, not a curated record
GUUUUUUGUCAGGUACGAAAACAAUUCAGAGAAAUCUUUCUAGAAAUGGGAUUUGAAGAGAUGCCGACAAAUAACUUUGUUGAGAGUAGUUGGCAUCCAAAAGUAGAAGAAACAAUUAAUGAAUUUGCUAGACAUAGAAACAAAAAACAAGUCUCCAUUGGCUGUAGUUAUUUAUGGAUUUGGUGGCAUAAGAAAGACCACCCUCGCCACCGCUGUUAUUGCUGACUUAGAUCUCACAAAUUACAACUAUUCAGGAGUUCAAAU